GCGAGGAUAGCUCAGUUGGUAGAGCAGUUGGCUUUUAACUAAUUGGUCCUGGGUUCGAGUCCCAGUCCUCGUA
Molecule: transfer RNA, 73 nt
Filed under: Verrucomicrobiia bacterium AMD-G2
Lineage: Bacteria; Pseudomonadati; Verrucomicrobiota; Verrucomicrobiia
Also listed under: 3 other names
Description: Verrucomicrobiae bacterium AMD-G2 tRNA-Lys
Rfam family: tRNA
About the family: Transfer RNA (tRNA) molecules are approximately 80 nucleotides in length. Their secondary structure includes four short double-helical elements and three loops (D, anti-codon, and T loops). Further hydrogen bonds mediate the characteristic L-shaped molecular structure. tRNAs have two regions of fundamental functional importance: the anti-codon, which is responsible for specific mRNA codon recognition, and the 3' end, to which the tRNAs corresponding amino acid is attached (by aminoacyl-tRNA synthetases). tRNAs cope with the degeneracy of the genetic code in two manners: having more than one tRNA (with a specific anti-codon) for a particular amino acid; and 'wobble' base-pairing, i.e. permitting non-standard base-pairing at the 3rd anti-codon position.
Source: RNAcentral